RNAcentral lists this ribosomal RNA (461 nucleotides) under Calipandalus elachys. RNAcentral's name for it is "12S ribosomal RNA". The record is from RNAcentral. Lineage: Eukaryota; Metazoa; Arthropoda; Malacostraca; Decapoda; Pandalidae.
GGGUGAAAUCUGGUGCCGAAAAGUAAAAGUAGCUGGAAGCUAAUGUAAGAGAAUCUUAGGCUGUUAAAACCUAGAUAUAAAACAGGAUUAGAUACCCUGCUAUACCUGGUCAAAAGUAGGUCGCUUGAGUAGUAAACAGCUAUUUCCUCGAAACUUAAAGGAGUUGGCGGUACCUUAGUCUUGUUAGAGGAAUCUGUUCUAUAAACGAUAAACCACGAAGUAUCUUACUCUUCUUUGUAGAACAGCUUGUAUACCGCCAUUAUUAGAUAGUUUUUAUAAAAAUCUAUUAAAAUAAUCUAAAGUUAAUAUAUUAGGUCAAGGUGCAGCCGAUAGAAGAGAAAGCAAUGGAUUACAAUAAUAUAAGUGUAUCACGAAUUAGCAGGCAAAGGUCUGCUCUGAAGGUGGAUUUAAUCGUAAGCCUCGUUUAAUAAGAGGGGUUGAUAGAAGCUCUAAGGUAUGUA